Molecule: ribosomal RNA, 1283 nt
Filed under: Staphylococcus pseudintermedius
Lineage: Bacteria; Bacillati; Bacillota; Bacilli; Caryophanales; Staphylococcaceae
Description: partial 23S ribosomal RNA
Rfam family: Bacterial large subunit ribosomal RNA
Source: RNAcentral
AAUCCGGCACUCUUAAGAUUGAGCUGUGAUGGGGAGAGGAACUUGUUCCUCGAGUCGUUGAUUUCACACUGCCGAGAAAAGCCUCUAGCUAGAAUAACGGUGCCCGUACCGCAAACCGACACAGGUAGUCAAGAUGAGAAUUCUAAGGUGAGCGAGCGAACUCUCGUUAAGGAACUCGGCAAAAUGACCCCGUAACUUCGGGAGAAGGGGUGCUCUUUGAGGUUCACGCUUCGAAGAGCCGCAGUGAAUAGGCCCAAGCGACUGUUUAUCAAAAACACAGGUCUCUGCUAAACCGUAAGGUGACGUAUAGGGGCUGACGCCUGCCCGGUGCUGGAAGGUUAAGAGGAGUGGUUAGCGCAAGCGAAGCUACGAAUCGAAGCCCCAGUAAACGGCGGCCGUAACUAUAACGGUCCUAAGGUAGCGAAAUUCCUUGUCGGGUAAGUUCCGACCCGCACGAAAGGCGUAACGAUUUGGGCACUGUCUCAACGAGAGACUCGGUGAAAUCAUAGUACCGGUGAAGAUGCCGGUUACCCGCGACAGGACGGAAAGACCCCGUGGAGCUUUACUGUAGCCUGAUAUUGAAAUUCGGUACAGUUUGUACAGGAUAGGUAGGAGCCUUAGAAGCGUGAGCGCUAGCUUACGUGGAGGCAUUGGUGGGAUACUACCCUAAUUGUAUUGGAUUUCUAACCCGCAGCACUUAUCGUGCUGGGAGACAGUGUCAGGCGGGCAGUUUGACUGGGGCGGUCGCCUCCUAAAGAGUAACGGAGGCGCUCAAAGGUUCCCUCAGAAUGGUUGGAAAUCAUUCAUAGAGUGUAAAGGCAUAAGGGAGCUUGACUGCGAGACCUACAAGUCGAGCAGGGUCGAAAGACGGACUUAGUGAUCCGGUGGUUCCGCAUGGAAGGGCCAUCGCUCAACGGAUAAAAGCUACCCCGGGGAUAACAGGCUUAUCUCCCCCAAGAGUUCACAUCGACGGGGAGGUUUGGCACCUCGAUGUCGGCUCAUCGCAUCCUGGGGCUGUAGUCGGUCCCAAGGGUUGGGCUGUUCGCCCAUUAAAGCGGUACGCGAGCUGGGUUCAGAACGUCGUGAGACAGUUCGGUCCCUAUCCGUCGUGGGCGUAGGAAAUUUGAGAGGAGCUGUCCUUAGUACGAGAGGACCGGGAUGGACAUACCUCUGGUGUACCAGUUGUCGUGCCAACGGCAUAGCUGGGUAGCUAUGUAUGGACGGGAUAAGUGCUGAAAGCAUCUAAGCAUGAAGCCCCCCUCGAGAUGAGAUUUCCCAACUUC